ACAUGGAGCUGUAACACUGAGAGUUGUGAUGCACCGAGGGCUUUAACGUCGGUCACUUCAAAUUUUUCUUGUGAGGAGACAGAACCAAGUAAAUUACACACUCCCCCUGACAACUGUAAUUGUAAUCACCUACAGAGAGGCAAGUAGAACUCCUUGUUCCUUUCCUAAAGAUCUGCAAUAACAGAUUAAUAAUAGCCUCAGCCUGUGAAUCCUGUUUCUGUAUCUGAUUGACUCAGGAGUCUCCUUUGAUAACCACAUGCCUGCAGAUGGUACUGUUCUGAGAAGAUCAUCAGCCUUAUCUGAGGACCUGCACUCUGGUCCUCAUACAGGUAACACCUGUACUCUGUCUCUGUGACUAGGCAGGGGUUUUAACAUCUUCAUCCUGGAAAAUUGGAGUCCUUCCCAUGGAAUGUGUGUGUUGAGCUUAGCAGAGACAGCCCUUUCCACUCUGGAGGUAAGACUGGGAAAAUUUGAGUCCAGAGCCCUCUGCUGCCUCUGGGCCCACUGCCUGUCCAAACACACCUGCAGGAGGAAAGAAGGACCUUGUUACAAACAAGAGAAGAAGAGGAGAUCAAAGCAGCUGCAUCAUCUCAUUAACCUUCACCCCCAGAGAAGAUGGCAAGGAAAACUUAGAAACAAACAAAAUCAAGCCACUCUUCCUGCCUUCAGUGGAGCUUCAAACCAGAGGAUGUUACCUGGAACACACUGGAGAGUCAUAACCUUGGAGUCGUCCUAAGUUGCUUCAGUCAUGUCCAACUCUUUGCAAACCUGUGGAAUGCAGCCCUCUGUCGGUGGGAUUCUCCAGGCAAGAAUACUGCAGUAGACCUUGCUUCUCCAGAUGUGAUCCUUGGACCAGCAGCAUCAGCAUCACCUAGGAGCUUUUAGAAAUGUCAAAUGAUGGGCCCCAUCCCAGCCCCACUGAAUCAGAAUCUGCAUUUUAUCAAGAUCCCAAGGUCCAUUUCCUGGUCUACUGCUCGUUGUCCUGCCUGUGAUGUGGAAUCACUUGAGUAGGUGACAGUGCUCUCAAAUGUCAAUCCAGAGUGUAAGAGAUGAUCAAGAUGGAGAGAAAACCCCUCGUGUGGCUGCCACCUCUAAUUCCUACACCCCCAUUUCCAAAAUUACUUAUGCUGCUCUGAUGGGCACAGAGGUGGCUUCUUAUAAGGACGUGGUUCCUUUGAGGCCCCCAGACCUCCACCAAGGACUAUGGCCAAGUACCUAGAGGAGAAGCCAGUGAAUAUUUGCAUCAGCAUAUUUUAUAUCAUAUUCCAAACACUUUGUUCUUGCCUACCCCAAAACCUAACUUUCAGAAUGGACCUGUUAGGGGAGUGUAAUCUCAUUGGUUCUGUUUCAUCACAACAAAGAUUUGAAGCGAUGGAAUUAAAGCCCUCAGCACAUGACAGCUCUUGGACAGUCUUUGUUAUAGUUCUUGGACAGACCAGUUUUAUUUAGAAAAUAAAGGAAAGUACAUCCUCGAGGUGUGAGGACUGCUGCUGCUGCUGCUAACUCACUUCAUGAGGGCAUGUUGACCCAAAAGAUGAGAAGAGAAGAGAGAGAGAACGAGAGCGCGCACAGGAGAGAAAGAG
Long non-coding RNA from Bos taurus (domestic cattle), 1583 nucleotides. The record is from Ensembl. NCBI's taxonomy places the organism in Eukaryota, Metazoa, Chordata, Mammalia, Artiodactyla, Bovidae.